RNAcentral lists this ribosomal RNA (253 nucleotides) under uncultured bacterium. RNAcentral's name for it is "partial 16S ribosomal RNA". It matches the Rfam family "Bacterial small subunit ribosomal RNA", at positions 524 to 776 of the family's 1533-position model. The record is from RNAcentral.
GACGAAGGUGGCAAGCGUUACUCGGAAUUACUAGGCGUAAAGCGUGAGCAAGCGGUUGGGCAAGUCUGUUGUGAAAGCCCCGGGCUCAACCCGGGGAGGUCAAUGGAAACUGCCUGACUUGAAUAUGGGAGAGGUGACUGGAAUUCCUGGUGUAGCGGUGAAAUGCGUAGAUAUCAGGAGGAACACCAAUGGCGAAAGCAGGUCACUGGACCAUUAUUGACGCCCAUUCACGAAAGCUGGGGGAUCAAACAGG